UACGGAGGAUGCGAGCGUUAUCCGGAUUUAUUGGGUUUAAAGGGUGCGUAGGCGGACUGUCAAGUCAGCGGUAAAAUUGAGAGGCUCAACCUCUUCCCGCCGUUGAAACUGGUGGUCUUGAGUGGACGAGAAGUACGCGGAAUGCGUGGUGUAGCGGUGAAAUGCAUAGAUAUCACGCAGAACUCCGAUUGCGAAGGCAGCGUACCGGCAUCCAACUGACGUUGAGGCACGAAAGCGUGGGGAUCAAACAGG
This 252-nucleotide ribosomal RNA is filed under the name uncultured bacterium. RNAcentral describes it as "partial 16S ribosomal RNA". It matches the Rfam family "Bacterial small subunit ribosomal RNA", at positions 524 to 776 of the family's 1533-position model. The record is from RNAcentral.